Molecule: ribosomal RNA, 468 nt
Filed under: uncultured bacterium
Lineage: Bacteria
Description: bacterial SSU rRNA
Rfam family: Bacterial small subunit ribosomal RNA
Source: RNAcentral
UCGGGAAUAUUGGACAAUGGGCGAAAGCCUGAUCCAGCAAUGCCGCGUGAGUGAUGAAGGCCUUCGGGUUGUAAAGCUCUGUCGGGAGGGACGAAUAGGGUGGUGUAAUGGCCACUUCUGACGGUACCUCCAAAGGAAGCACCGGCUAACUCUGUGCCAGCAGCCGCGGUAAUACAGAGGGUGCAAGCGUUGUUCGGAAUUACUGGGCGUAAAGCGCGUGUAGGCGGCGUCGUGAGUCAUAUGUGAAAGCCCUCGGCUCAACCGAGGAAGUGCAUGUGAUACUGCGAUGCUUGAGUGUUGGAGGGGGUGGCGGAAUUCCCGGUGUAGAGGUGAAAUUCGUAGAUAUCGGGAGGAACACCAGUGGCGAAGGCGGCUCACUGGACGUGUAUUGACGCUGAGGUACGAAAGCGUGGGGAGCAAACAGGAUUAGAUACCCCCGUAGUCCCUGAGCGGGCUGGCAAGGCGCAU